AACGUAGGUGGCGAGCGUUAUCCGGAAUUACUGGGCGUAAAGGGCUCGUAGGCGGCCAACUAAGUCAGACGUGAAAUCCCUCGGCUUAACCGGGGAACUGCGUCUGAUACUGGAUGGCUUGAGUUCGGGAGAGGGAUGCGGAAUUCCAGGUGUAGCGGUGAAAUGCGUAGAUAUCUGGAGGAACACCGGUGGCGAAGGCGGCAUCCUGGACCGACACUGACGCUGAGGAGCGAAAGCCGGGGGAGCAAACGGG
Molecule: ribosomal RNA, 253 nt
Filed under: uncultured bacterium
Lineage: Bacteria
Description: partial 16S ribosomal RNA
Rfam family: Bacterial small subunit ribosomal RNA
Source: RNAcentral